Non-coding RNA from Schistosoma haematobium, 45 nucleotides. Lineage: Eukaryota; Metazoa; Platyhelminthes; Trematoda; Strigeidida; Schistosomatidae. The record is from Rfam.
GCCCAGCUGACGAGUCUUAAAUAAGACGAAACUCUAUUUCUGGAU